Molecule: long non-coding RNA, 393 nt
Filed under: Pelobates cultripes (western spadefoot toad)
Lineage: Eukaryota; Metazoa; Chordata; Amphibia; Anura; Pelobatidae
Source: RNAcentral
GAUGGGCUCUAGCUGCAGUCUGGCUUCACUGGUCUGGUGUAGAACAGGCUCUCUGGAGGCGGUUUGUAACUGUGGUCACAAAAAUCAAUGUUCUGGGAGAACGGGAAGCAGCUCCAUUUUUUGGGGGCCCUUUACACAGCUCAAGGUCUGGGUCCCAGGGUCCACCUUCAUGUUCCACCAAUGAGUUUGUUCACAGGGGGUGGAGUGUGUAGGGGAUAUCCUGAUAUGUGUGUAAGGAAUGCAUUGUGUGAAUCUGUGUUUGUAUGUGUAAGGGCUGCAAGGUGUGUUUCUGUGUAUGUACGAGAUGCAUUGAGUGUGUGUAAGGGGUGCAUUGAGUGUGUGUAAUGAAUGCAUUGUGUGUUUCUGUGUGUGUAAGGGAUGCAUUGUGUGUAA